This is a non-coding RNA of Microcebus murinus (gray mouse lemur), 414 nucleotides long. The record is from RefSeq and is a predicted model, not a curated record. Lineage: Eukaryota; Metazoa; Chordata; Mammalia; Primates; Cheirogaleidae.
GGACAAUCCGCGUCCUGACCGAGCCAACCUGGAGAAGGGCUGCCUGAAGGGGGCGGCCGCAAUCUUCGCGACGCAGACUUGGCACCCUACUGCUCCUCUGUUAGUCUUUAACAGUUAGUGCCUGCAUGGAUGGACAUCCCUGGAGUCAAAAGAUGGUGGUAUUGUCCAAUUACAGUGAGUUUAAGUGAGGCAAAUUGAAGAGAACAUGCUUCAGGAAGUCAGCACUGGAUGGAGCUGUUUCACAUCCUGGACCCCUCAAUGGGAUGAUGAAAAGGACUUUGUUGUCUGGAUGAUUUGUGAAUAUUUGAUCUCUUGCCAAGUAGACUGUAAGCACCUCCAGCAUAAGGAAAAUGCUAUCACUCAUUCUUUAAUCCUCUAAAAAACUGAGGACAGGUAUUUACAUAUGGUAAAUAC